CUCCAUCGAUGAUGUUUUACUUUUACCUACAUUGUUUGACUGAGUGUGAUAGAAACCUAAUUUCUGAGGUGGAG
Small nucleolar RNA from Callorhinchus milii (elephant shark), 74 nucleotides. RefSeq annotates it as small nucleolar RNA SNORD34. The transcript has a single exon. Lineage: Eukaryota; Metazoa; Chordata; Chondrichthyes; Chimaeriformes; Callorhinchidae. The record is from RefSeq and is a predicted model, not a curated record.